AUACGGAGGGUGCAAGCGUUACUCGGAAUCACAGGGCGUAAAGCGCGCGCAGGCGGUCUUUUAAGUUGGAUGUGAAAGCCUACGGCUCAACCGUAGAACUGCAUCCAAAACUAUUAGACUAGAGUGUGGGAGAGGAAGAUGGAAUUAGUUGUGUAGGGGUAAAUCCGUAGAGAUAACUAGGAAUACCAAAAGCGAAGGCAAUCUUCUGGAACACUACUGACGCUGAGGCGCGAAAGCGUGGGGAGCAAACAGGAUUAGAAACCCUAGUAGUCC
RNAcentral lists this ribosomal RNA (273 nucleotides) under uncultured bacterium. RNAcentral's name for it is "partial 16S ribosomal RNA". It matches the Rfam family "Bacterial small subunit ribosomal RNA", at positions 523 to 796 of the family's 1533-position model. The record is from RNAcentral.